Molecule: long non-coding RNA, 284 nt
Filed under: Bos taurus (domestic cattle)
Lineage: Eukaryota; Metazoa; Chordata; Mammalia; Artiodactyla; Bovidae
Description: long non-coding RNA NONBTAT013470
Source: RNAcentral
UACACUCCUGCCCUCGUCCCCAUUAGCAUCAGACCCAUAUCAACUUGAGCAAACCAGAAAUUUCACAGAGGUGUAAAGCUGGCAGAGGUGAUGUUCUAGCAAGUGCCUUUUAUCUUACAAGUGCCUAAUAAAUAUUACAUUUUCAUAAUUUGGCUUUUUAAAUCAGAAAUUAUCUUUCAUUCCCUCACAUGGCUUAUUUUAGAAGACUUCCCAUGGUCAUGUCUGUGUCAAUGUCACUGAACCAUUGCAAGCAGGUAAGUAACUUUUCACAGGGACCUUGUCUG